RNAcentral lists this ribosomal RNA (465 nucleotides) under uncultured bacterium. RNAcentral's name for it is "bacterial SSU rRNA". It matches the Rfam family "Bacterial small subunit ribosomal RNA", at positions 338 to 795 of the family's 1533-position model. The record is from RNAcentral.
CCUACGGGGGGCUGCAGUCGAGAAUCUUCCGCAAUGGGCGAAAGCCUGACGGAGCGACGCCGCGUGGAGGAUGAAGGCCUUCGGGUUGUAAACUCCUGUCACGAGUUAAGAAAGAGCUGCCACGAACAGUGGUAGAUCCUGACGUAAGCUCGAGAGGAAGCACUGGCUAACUCUGUGCCAGCAGCCGCGGUAAUACAGAGAGUGCAAACGUUGUUCGGAAUCACUGGGCUUAAAGAGCACGUAGGCGGCGCUACAAGUGUCGGGUGAAAUCCCACGGCUCACCCGUGGAACUGCCCGGCAGACUGUGGUGCUCGAGUGUGGUAGGGGAGAGCGGAACUCCAGGUGGAGCGGUGAAAUGCGUAGAUAUCUGGAGGAACACCGGUGGCGAAGGCGGCUCUCUGGUCCACAACUGACGCUGAGGUGCGAAAGCUAGGGGAGCAAACGGGAUUAGAUACCCCAGUAGUC